This 36343-nucleotide long non-coding RNA is filed under the name Malus domestica (apple). RNAcentral's name for it is "long non-coding RNA (MDOM_LNC013620)". Lineage: Eukaryota; Viridiplantae; Streptophyta; Magnoliopsida; Rosales; Rosaceae. The record is from RNAcentral.
AUCCCCAUAAGUGACAAUGCUGUCCAUAAUCUUGGCCACUACCUCCUUAGAAUCCCUCAGUUUUUUUAUGCUUUUGUUAAGCUUCUCACGCUUUACUGCCACUGCCGGGGACUCCUCCAACAUCCUCUCAAUUCCCCCACCGUAAGGUCCCAACAACUCAUUCACAAUCUCAGCUUCCAUCUCUUUGUUCACAAGGUUGAAAACAGACAGCUGCAAGUGCAAUGCCAUGCAGUCCACAAGCCUCCUCAAAACAACCUUCCAAUAAGCAAUCAUUCUCAUUUUAAGGUCAUAAGCUUGAGCUAACACAUGCGGGUACUUCCUCAGAACACCGACUUCCACUUCCCCGAUGCCUUCUAUAUCUAUGAUAGAAGGCUUCUUCUCAUCAGUUAAGACUCCAUGAAUGAAUUCGUUUUGACUAGCCAUCAGCUUGUUCCAUUCGGAAACAUAAUCACCAUCACAUGUAUAAUCUGUCAGCUUUUCCAUCUCUACAAGCUCCAGCAUCCACUUGAUUGACCUCUCCUUCAUCUUGGCCAUUAGACUAUGGCCGGCACGCCUUGCUGACAGCUGCAGCUGAUGAUAGUUAUCCGUAUAAUGCAUCAACACAGAAAUAACCACCUCUUCAAUGUAGUUCCACACUUUUUCCUCAAAUGCAAUCGGAAUACUCGAAAUUUCAUUCACUUUUGCCUGCAAGAUAAUGAGGAAAGCAUUGCGUGGAAGGAAGUUCGGAAGUGAAAUACCUUUGGCCUCCUCCAAGAUCCUGAUCUCCUCCAUCAAGAAGUUGCUCUUUGCAUCAGUUUCAGCACAUCUGUGAAGUUCAUCCGAGUACUGGUUGAGCAUCUCAACCAAUCUAGCAGUGCAGUGCAUGCGAUUGUCUUCCGCGUACUCCUGAAAUUCUCCUCUCAAAAGAAUCUUCCUAAGCGAUUCCUUAGCCAAGCCAGUGAUUUGCAUAAAAGCCGUCAUGGCCUCAGCAACCGAUGAAAGACUCUUUGGCAUUUUGUUCAGCUCCAUAAUGCAGAAGUUCAGCCUGUCAUUGAUCUUCUUCACUAUCUCAGGUAUAUUUCUUGCUAUGCUGUUUGCUUGAAUUUGGACCAGCUUCUGUGCUAAAACUGGAAUGCCGACAAUGGACUUGUCAAUCUUCGAAAGCAGAGGAUGGGUUUGAAAUAGUUCAUGAGCCAUCACCGCUGCCUCCUCAUCAGUUUCGUCACCAAUCCUGUUCCUUACACAGACAUAACCAAGACCAAUGUUUACAUCAUCUCCAGUGACCUUCUCAAGUAGUCCUUCCGGUGCCUUGUCCACUUUCGUAACCACAGCGAGCGUCCUCUCACCAGUUUUAUCUACACUUUGUGACAUCCGGAUUGACUCACACGUAGUAAAAUCCACCGUAGCAGACAAUACAUUCAGAAUAAUACUUUCCUCCGGCUUAAUAUACUCCAUGAUCAUAUCUUUGAUCUGAUCAUAGAUAUUUUCAGGUUGGCCAUGGACUGGAACCCUUGUGAUUCCCGGAAGAUCAACCAUAGUCAGAUCCGGAACCCCAUACUUCUUCACCAACAAAGUAAGUGGCGUGUUUGAAAUUCCCUUACCUCCCCCCGCAAUAGAAUUAGUAGCUUUCACAAUAUCUUUGGUGAUAUUUUCUUCAUCAGUACGAUCAACUCUGCCAUUGUACUCCAAGGAAAGUUCAGGCUGAGGACUCGAGUGGUGUUCGAGCCUCAUAAUAAGAGGCACUCUCGUGCAGAUGCCUUGGCCCCGAGGUAGGCUGAUGCCGGCCAAGGAUUCGAGCACGCUAGACUUCCCGGAUGACUGGUCUCCGACCACCACAAUCGUUGGCAGCUGAAUGCCUUCAUCCAUCACCUUCAAGCUGCGUAACUUGUCUACCGCAUCCAGAAGAGGGCGGAUCUUGUCGUUAUAGGACGACACAAUGGGUGCGCAUUUGAGGGGUACUGCGUCUAGUCCUGCCUGAACCAUUGCGAGGGAGCCUUCACCGUUUAUAACUGUGCGACUCGAUUCCAUUUUCCUUGGUCCUUGCGUUUCUGAAUUAUAGCAAGUCAAAACAAUGGUGAAAAAUCUAGAGGGAAACCGAGAUUGUAGAGAGAUGAGAGAGAAUUCGAAGAUGGAAAAUGUUCUGUAUUGGGUUUAUGACUUAAUGGAGUAAAAUGUUCUAUUUAUAGCUACUGCUAUAUAUCAUUCUUAGCCCUUAAGCAACUUAACUGACUCUCAAUCAACAAUAGCAACACAUCUAACAAAAAUGCUACUUUUCCGAUAUAUUUGUACCAUCAUUUGCUUACAUUGAUAAAUCGGACUCAUACUCAUAAGCUGACAUGGCAGCCACAUGACUUAAAAGUAAGAAGAUUACUUGUCAGCGAAGAUAUCAGUCAGGAAGAAGUGAGAAAGCUGGGUUUAGUAAGUGCCUUAGGCUUAAAGGCUCCUAGUUGUAUGUAUAAUUGUUCAGCAAAACCUAUCGAAGUAAAUGACAACCAGCCUUUUCAAAACCGCAUGCUGAGAGAGUUGUGAUUUGGACUUCCAAACGUUCAGCAAACCAAACCGCUUGCGAGCCUUUGAACUUCUAAACCCUAAUCAGUGUAAAUGUAAUAUGGACAGUUAACUGAUAACCAUUUUUUGUGCUUGAUGCUCUUGAACUUCAGUCAACCUUUAUAUAUUAUUCAUUCAAAUAAUCGAUGACUAGCUAGCCAAUGUAAGUUGUAACCCAACAGAGACGAGAUGUUGAAGAAAAUUAAAUAUUUUUUGUAAUUUGGUAAGACAAACAAAGGCACCCAUUGGAGAAAGGGAAGUGCUAGCAGCCUUUGCCCUAACAUUUGUGUUUGGACCUCUUCACUUUAACAACUAACAGGUAUCAUUUUCUAUACAAAAAAGCAAGAAUUUUAAAGCUUUUGUCUAGGAAUUAACGAUGAGAAAUAUAAAAUAUACAUUAUUAUGUCAUUCAUUAAAAUGAAAAUUUUCAAAUGCAAAAGUUAGUGCAAAAGUGUAUUUCUCUUAGAAAAAUUCAAUCUAACAACCAAAAUUAAAGUUAACAAAAAAAAGUAGAGAACUUAAUUCAUAUUGAAUCUACCCUUAUGAUCGUGCUCCAGAAAAAUUGAGAAGGAUGCAGGGUUUUUGAAUUUGGUAAAGCUUAAGGAUUAAGGUUGCUGUUUUUUUUUUUUUUUUUUUUUUUUUUUUUUUUUUUUGGAGAAAAGUGGAAGAGAAAGAGCCUUUGAAGAUUCCUUUCUGAGUUUUCACAUUGUGGGGAUUUUGUUUCACUUUUACCAUUGUAAGACCAUAGAUAAUGGAUGCUGACAUGGUUGGACAGAUGUCGAAUAGUGGUGUGGUAUGCCCAAUCGGUUUAGGUUGCUGAAAAUAGCAACUUUAACUAAAAAUAGUGCAGGACUUUAAAAGAGGAAGGGGAAAUAAGAGUUUGAGGAAAAAGAGGCAACUUUAAUUCAUCAUUUCAUAGGUUCUUUACGCUCUCCAUUAUUACAUAUUUAUGCUCCUCAUAAAAGAGAAAAUAGAGUUUUAACGAAAAGCCCGCGGUACUGUUCACUUUAAUGAAAAACCACAUUUUUACACUAAAAAGUCAAAUCUGGUACUAUUCAUAUUACUCUUUAUUUUGUUCUUAUCGUUAAAAUUCAAAGUUUUAAAGCAUUUUUCAUUAGUUUUCCUAAGAGAACAACCCUAGCUACUUGGACAUAAAAAAAAAGGCUAGUACGGGCAAGUUGCAAGAGGAGAAGUAGUGGGCUCAAGUAAAUGGGCUUAAUAACUCCCCCCUCUCCUUGAGAAUAGGCCUGACCUUAGGUCAAGAAAUCGAGGUAACGGGCCAAGAUGUCGUCAGCUUCCUCCCAGGUGACAUCUUCAGUGGGUAGGCCAACCCACUUGAUCAACCAUUUUGUCGCAGCUUUAUUUUUUUUUCUUGAAUAUGCCCUUGUCUAAAACUCUUUCUGGUUGCCAGUGUAGAACCCCAGUGGAGUCGAUAGGAGGCAAAACUGACAGUGGAGGAGAAAUACUACCAAUCUUUUGUUUAAGGAGAGACACAUGAAAGACGGGGUGGAUUUUGGAGUCUAAAGGCAAACGAAGCUGAUAUGCUACGAAACUGAUGCGCUUAGUUAUCUGAAAAGGUCCAUAGAACUUGGGUGCCAGCUUGUUUGUUGUUCUAGUAGCCACUGAUUGUUAGCGGUAUGGUUAAAGCUUCAGGUAAACCCAGUCACCAACAUUAAAUUCCCGCUCAGUUCUCUUGUUAUCAUAGACUUGUCUCAUUUUGUUCUCUGCAAGCUGCAAAUUUGUUCUCAUAAGACAGAUUAAUUUGUCCUUAUCCUGUAUUGCAGCAUCAAUUGAGUGUACCGUCGUGGAGCCGAGCAUAUACAUGCAAAGGUGGUUCAAUGUCAUAAACAGCCUGAUAUAGAGACAUUUUGAUGGAAGAUUGGAAGCUUGUAUUAUACCACCAUCUAGCCCAGGGAAUGAGAGAAGACCAAUUGGUGGGUUUGUCUAUUGAGAAACAUCGAAGAAAAUGUUCCAAUGUGCAGUUAAGGACUUUCAUUUGCCUAUUCGUUUGAGGGUGGUAACCUAAACUUAGGCAAAGUUUGUUGCCUUGGAGUUUAAAGAACUCUUGCCAAAAGUUACUAAGAAAAUUGGGUCGCGAUCUGAAACGAUCUAUUUUGGCAUACCAUGGAGUCAGAAAACCUCAUUGCUGAAAGUAUCAGCUACAAAGGCAACUGUGUAUGGGUGCUUUAAUGGGAUAAAGUGGCCAUACUUUGAUAGGCGAUUGAUGACAACUAGGAUCACGGUGUACGCGUUGGAAAAUGGGAGCCCUUUGACAAAAUCAAGAGUGAUGUCCUGUCAUAUGCCAGUGGGGAUGAGCAAGGGAUGCAGUAACCUAGGAGGGUGUUUUGUAUGCAUUAAGCCACAAUUUUUUUUUGUUUCCUUUCGAAUUCCCGGCCAUAAAACUUUUUUGGAGAGUCUUUUGUAUGUUCAAAGGAAGCCCAAGUGACCAUCUUAGAGAGAUGCAUGGAAUUCAUCCAAGAGUUUAGGUUGCCAUUGGGAUGUGAGUAGUGGGACAAAGAUCUGUUGCUUGUAGUGCAACACAUCAUUUAUAAUUGAGAACCCUUUGAUUGAAGUGUUGGGUAUUGGAACUAAAAGAUUCCAAACCUUUUGCACUUCUAGAUCCUAUGCAUAAGACUGUUGCAACUGAGGAAUGCAAUCAAAUAUAGGGGUAGAGAGGCCUAUUAAGAGCAAAAGUUCUUGUUGGCAGGAGAUAGCAUAUGGAGCACUGUUUUGAGAACCCGACCUAUACUCGACCGAGUAGUUGUACCCCAACAAUUUCACCAGCCAUUUUUAAUUUUUUUCACAAAAACUGUAAGUUAUAACUCACGUUUUCCAAUCGAUUUUAAGAACUUUUACAAGAUUCAUUAUAAGCCAAAAUUUGAGUCGUUUUAGUCGCACCACAUGUUUUCUAAAAUUAAUUUAGGACAUCCCAAAUAUUUUUCAACACCUACAAAUUUCUUUGGUGGCUUCACUAUUAGUUUAUACUAUUUUUCUAACUCAUAGUAACAACGAAAAAAUUUCUCAGCAUGACCAAAAUGAUUGAUGGUGCAUCAGAGACUACUUUUAUCGAUUUCAAAUUUGAAGGACUAAAGUAAGGAGUUAUGCCAGAAAGUGGCCCUCUACCACAGUGGUGGAGAGGAGUAUUGGCCUUACACUACGACAGAGCUUCGAACCAUGACGGCUCCCUAAUCUAACAUCUAAUUAAAAAAUCUAUUGUUUGACGAAGAAAAAAAAGUAAGGAGUUAUGUCAAUUUCAAAAUCCGUUUUGGCCCCUUUUUAACAUGGAUGGAGGGUUUCAAAUUCCUUGUUACUACCUUUUAGGGGUUUUAUUAAAUUUUAUGAAUUUUUUUGUUGGUAUAUUUGAGCGUGUCUUUAAAAUGAUUAAAAUUGUUUUAAUAUAAUAAAAUAAAAAGUGUUUAUGACAACAUUUUGACCAAAAAAAGGACUUUAUGGAGAGGUCUAUGAGCAAAAUGCAACUCUUACUACCUAUUUGUACUAUAAUUUGUACCACUAAUAAAGAUGAGACUCACAUGCGUUGGCGAGCCUUACCUCUAUUAGAGAUAUAGUAGAAAUAUAUGGUAAAUGUAGCAUUACUCGUCUAUGAGUGUUUUCAACGGAGUACAAUUCUCUGUCAUCCUAUUCCUAGUGUGGUUUAGUCCAUACUAAGUGUAUGGAUUCUAACAAACGAUCAAUUAAAACAUGAAAUCUAAUAUGGACAUUUAAUUAAAUGUUUAUUAAUAUUUACGGUGCGGUUCGGUUUCGGUGUAGUUUUCAAAAGCCAAAACCGAAACCAAACCGUUUUCUAUGUUGCGGUUCGGUUUCAAAACCGAAACCGUUUCAAAACCGCAAAACCAAACCAUUCGGUGCGGUUUGAUUUGGUUCGUGUUUUGGUUUCGGUUUUCGGUUCUAAGUGCCAAUCCCUAGGAGAGCGUGUCCCUUUUUUUUGAAAAAUAUGGAUCAUUUCCCUUAAGCUCCUCCUACACACACACACACACACACACACACACACACACACACAUAUAUAUAUUAAAAUGAUAACCUUUCUUGGAUAGAACUGAGCAUAUAAACAUGCAAAGGUAAUGUUAGAGAGACCAAAGUUUUAAACAAAAUAAUGUGUUACCAAUAAAAAAUAAGCACGUUAAUCAACGCUAAAGUAAUAAUUCAAUUAUCAAUAAGCACAUCAUUUGGUUUGUAAAUUUGAUUUAAAAAAUUUGGUCUCCCUAACAUUAUCCAACCUGCAAACAAGUUUAAUUAUCUUAGACAAGCAACAUUAUUUACAUAUUUACUUUCAGGCAAUUACAAAUUUGACGUCGAAAAGAAGAUUUAAGGAAAAUGGUUUUCUUAUUAAUUAGGAUUUUUACAAUGCGUGUCGCAUUCUUUACCUAAAGUUUUUAUGUCUGUCAGAUUGGUUAUGAAAGCUCACUGUCAUAUUAAUAAACGGUAUUAUAAGCAGAAAACAUGAGACAAAAAAUAGGAGUUAAACUGUAUGUAAGAGGAAAUCGCACUUAAAUUUCAUUAAUAACAGUAAACUUGACAAGGAUUACCACAAUCAUACGACUACGGACUAUUACACAACAAGAACACAAGGGAAACAAAAGAACUUAAAAACAAAAGUUGACUAACAAACAACCACCCACAUCAGACAACAGAAAGCUAAUUGCCAAGUUAGUUAAUCACCAUAAGUGAUAAUGCUGUCCAUAAUCUUGGCCACCACCUCCUUCGAAUCCCUCAGUUUUUUUAUGCUUUUGUUAAGCUUCUCACGCUUUACUGCCACUGCCGGGGACUCCUCCAACAUCCUCUCAAUUCCCCCACCGUAAGGUCCCAUCAACUCAUUCACAAUCUCAGGCUCCAUCUCUUUGUUCACAAGGUUGAAAACAGACAGCUGCAAGUGCAAUGCCAUGGAGUCCACAAGCCUCCUCAAAACAACCUUCCAAUAAGCAAUCAUUCUCAUUUUAAGGUCAUAAGCUUGAGCUAACACAUGCGGGUACAUCCUCAGAACACCGACUUCCACUUCCCCGAUGCCUUCUAUAGUUAUGAUAGAAGGUUUAUACUCGUCAGUUAAGACUUCAUGAAUGAAUUGAUUUUGACUAGCCAUCAACUUCUUCCAUUCGGAAACAUAAUCAUCAUCACAUGUAUAAUCCGUUAGCUUUUCCAUCUCUACAAGCUCCAGCAUCCACUUGAUUGACCUUUCCUUCAUCUUGGCCAUUAGAUUAUGGCCGGCACGCCUGGCUGACAGCUGCAACUGAUGAUAGUUCUCCGUAUAAUGCAUCAACACAGAAAUAACCACCUCUUCAAUGUAGCUCCACACUUUUUCCUCAAAUGCUAUCGGAAUACUCGAAAUUUCAUUCACUUUUCCUUGCAAGAUAAUGAGGAAAGCAUUGCGUGGAAGGAAGUUCGGAAGUGAAAUACCUUUGGCCUCCUCCAAGAUCUUGAUCCCCUCCAUCAAGAAGUUGCUCUUUGCACCAGUUUCAGCACAUAUGUGAAGUUCAUCCGAGUACUGUUUGAGCAUCUCAACCAAUCUAGCAGUGCAGUGCAUGCGAUUGUCGUCCGCAUAGUCCUCAAAUUCUCCUCUCAAAAAAAUCUUCCUAAGCGAUUCCUUAGCCAAGCCAAUGAUUUGCAUAAAGGCUGUCAUUGCCUCGGCAACAGAUGAAAGACUCUUUGGCAUUUUGUUCAGCUCCAUAAUGCAGAAGUUCAGCCUGUCAUUGAUCUUCUUCACUAUAUCGGGUAUAUUUCUUGCUAUGCUGUUUGCUUGAAUUUGGACCAGCUUCUGUGCUAAAACUGGAAUACCGACAAUGGACUUGUCAAUCUUCGAAAGCAGGGGAUGGGUUUGAAAUAGUUCAUGAGCCAUCGCCGCUGCCUCCUCAUAAGUUUCGUCACCAAUCCUGUUCCUUACACAGACAUAACCAAGACCAAUGUUUACAUCAUCUCCAGUGACCUUCUCAAGUAGUCCUUCCGGUGCCUUGUCCACUUUCGUAACCACAGCGAGCGUCCUCUCACCAGUUUUAUCUACACUUUGUGACAUCCGAAUUGACUCACACGUAGUAAAAUCCACCGUAGCAGACAACACAUUCAGAAUAAUACUUUCUUCCGGCUUAAUAUACUCCAUGAUCAUAUCUUUGAUCUGAUCAUAAAUAUUUUCAGGUUGGCCAUGGACCGGAACCCUUGUGAUUCCCGGAAGAUCAACCAUAGUCAGAUCCGGAACCCCAUUCUUCUUCACCAACAAAGUAAGUGGCGUGUUCGAAAUUCCCUUACCUCCUCCCGCAAUAGAAAUAGUAGCUUUCACAAUGUCUUUGGCGAUAUUGUCUUCAUCAGUACGAUCAACUCUGCCAUUGUACUCCAGGGAAAGUUCAGGCUGAGGACUCGAGUGGUGUUCCAGCCUCAUAAUAAGAGGCACUCUCGUGCAGAUGCCUUGGCCCCGAGGGAGGCUGAUGCCGGCCAAGGAUUCGAGCACGCUGGACUUCCCCGAUGACUGGUCUCCGACCACCACAAUCGUUGGCAGCUGAAUGCCUUCAUCCAUCACCAUCAAGCUGCGUAACUUGUCUACCGCAUCCAGAAGAGGGCGGAUCUUGUCGUUGUAGGAUGACACAAUGGGUGCGCAUUUGAGAGGUACUGCGUCUAGUUCUGCCUGAACCAUGGCGAGGGAGCCUUCACCGUUUAAAUCUGUGCAACUCGAUUCCAUUUGCCUUGGUCCUUCCGUUUCUGAAUUAUAGCAAGUGAAAAUAAUGGUGAAAAUUCUAGAGAGAAACCGAGAUAAUUUCAAGCUUAAUUAGCUAAAGAAUUGAGGUUCUCUGGCAGUUUACCCUCCAGUUUAUAACAUUUUUUUACUAAGAAUGUUUUCAGGUAAGGGAAAACACCACUUUCGUGAUCCAGUAGGAAACGGAGCCUUUCUUUCAACCGCUGCAUUUCCACAAACUCAAGAGACUCUAAUACCCGAAAAGGCAAGUUACGCUCUCCUUAAAACUCAGCACCAAUUCGAAGAUGGAGUAAAAUGUUCUGUAUUGAGUUUGUGACUUAGUGGAGUAAAAUGUCCUAUUUAUAGUGAUGCAGUACAAGACUCUCAUGCAUGUAUUGGAAUCUACCAAGAGUUGGAACCAUCAAAUAUAUUUAAUGGAGUUUUAGAGCAACACAACUAAUUAAGUAGUCAUUUAAGACCAUUUUAAAUAUUUUGGGUAGAGCAAAAGUCCAAUUCGGACUAGAGUUUCAUUGUGUUGUAUUCCUUAUAAAUAUAUGUACUAAUUGUAUUCCUUAAAUGACUACUUAAUUAGUUGUGUUGCUCUAAAACUCCAUUAAAUAUAUUUGAUGGUUCCAACUCUUGGUAGAUUCCAAUACAUGCAUGAGAGUCUUGAUUACUACAUCAUUUAGCUACUGCUAUGUGUCAUUCUUAGCCUUCAAGCAGCUUAACUGACUCUCAGUCAACAAUAACAACACAUCCAACAGCUUAAGGAUUGCUGUUUUUAGUGGAGAAAUGUGGAAGAGAAAGAGCCUUUGAAGAUUCCUUUAUGAGUUUGCACAUUGUGGGAGAUUUUGUUUCACUUUUACCAUUGUCAGGCCAUAAUCAUGGAUGUUGACAUGGUUGGACAGAUGUCGAAUGAUGGUGUCAUUGGGCCCCCACCAUCAAAGAAAAAGCAGUCCCCAUGGGGCAUCUAAGCGGAAAGAGAAUCCAUUAUAGUAUAAAGAUUUAGCAUUCACACUCAUAGCUUCGACAUCAAUCAUUUUCUUCCUUGCCGAUGUUCUUUAUAUUUUGCUUUCUUUAUUUCUUGAUAAGUUGUUUCUGGAUGAUAUUUUUUUAGAAUCUCUUGGAUGUCGUAUGCGUGCUACGUCACUCGUUUGUAUCAAAACACGCAUAAACAUUAUUUCUUUCAAUCGAGAUUUAAAAUUAAAAGUCUACAUACACUUUUUUGUUGUAAUUUGACUGAUGGACCAUAAUGUUGGAUUGUGAACUACCUUAGUACAUAUGUGUAGAAGUGUGGCAGGUGACGUAAGCAUAAAUAAUCAUUUUAACAUGCAUGUUAGCAAAAUGUUAAAUUGUGUUUAAUCAUAUUAAAUUAAUUUAUGUAUUGGUUUUGUUCAGGUAUAAUAAAAUUAAAAACACAUGUAUAAACUUAGUGUAAGUUUUAGGAUUCUCACCUUUAGAUUUCAUAGGUGGACAAAUUCAAUGUUGUUAAAGAUCCCAAGUGUUAGCCCUCAACUAGUGUCUACACGAAUAAAUAUCUGGCUAGUGAAGCAAAAAAACGACAAUUUGCUAGAACUUUAUCCAUCAGGUAGGUGUUGCCAUAAAGGGAUUUGGUAUGGUGUUUUGUUUUUCAAUUCUCUAAAUUGGAAAACCUAUUUCUUUUCUCUCUAAUAUCUAUUUGCGAUUAUUGAAUUCUCACACUAUGUUACAUAGACCCCUUAGGCUUAUAAAAAGAACAAUCUGUAAUUAAGCCAAUUGUGUGUUGCACGCCCUAGGGAAAUUUUUUAGAAACUUUUGGGUUCACUAGUCUGUAUCACGUCACUCGCUUGUCUCAAGAAGAGAUCCUUUCACAUCACCAGUUUACCACACUAAAAUUUUGAAUUUAUUAGAUGGAUAAUACAAUUUGUUUAAUAAAUGACCAACUUUACAAAUAUUUUUGUGAAGUGAUUUCACACAUAUUUUUUAGCUUUUACACACCCAUGUUUAAUUUUAGAUGUUGAUUCCGUUUGAUUUAUUUAAUCUGGUGGCCAUAAAUAAAGAGAGGUACGUGGAAAACUAAAAAUGGUGUGUGAAAAUCCUUGACACUACUAAGCAUGAAUUUUAGUAAGAUGAAAAAAGACCUUCGCUUGAUACCCGUGGGAGGACGUGACAUGACUUCCUUUAUUGAAGGAUGAGGAAUGCUAAUGUGACUUUCAAAAGUAGGACUUUCUAAUGACUCUCUGCCACCUCAUAGCUAGUUUAAUGUCAAUUCAUUCACGUGCCAACAUUAUAACACAAAUGCUAGGAAGGCUACAUUUAUAGACAAAAUUUGUAUACUAAAUGACAUGAAAGUUGAUGAUUAUAUUAUUAUUUAAGCGUUGAUAAACGUGCUCAUUUUCUAUUGGUAACAAGUCAUUUAGUUUUCAAAUUUUGUCUACAAAUUUAGUCUCCAUAGCAUUACCUGCAUUAUAAAGUAUUGUGCCAAAUAUAUGAGCUGACAAAGAGUCCAUAGAGAGUCUCAAUUUUGAGUCUCAUUAGCAUUUAUCUUCAAGAAUUUAUCCACAUUCUCCUCACGUAAUAAUUUCACCAAAAAUGUUUUCUAAAUGCUCACUUAUCAAGAUUAAACCCCCGUUUGGUAUUUUAUUUUUUGGGUAAAAGACUGUUUACUACCCUCAUGUUUCGUGGUUUUCAACAUUUAGUACAUCAUGUUUUUUUCGUCUCAGAGUCAUACCUAAAGUGUAAAUUUUGGGACAGUCUCAUACAUCCGUUAGUCAAACUGUUAAGUUUUUCGUUAACUGUGACGUGGCGCACUGACUGGGCGCCACGUGUCAUCCACGUUUUUUUUUUUUCUUUUUCUUUUUUCUUUCUUUUCUUUUCUUCUUCUUCCUUCUUCUUCUUCUUCCUCCGACUGCAACUUUUUUUUUUUUUUUUGCUUCUUCCUUUUCCUUCUUCCUUCCUUCCUCCUUCCUUUCCCUUUCUUCCCCUUCUUCCUUCUUCUUCCUUCUUCUUCCUCCGAAAUCUGGGGAAUGUUUUUUUUUUUCUUUCUUCUUCUUCCUCCUUCCUUCCCCUUCUUCCUUCUUCUUCUUUCUCCUUCUUCUUCUUCUUCUUCUUCCUCCGAAAUCUGGGGAAGUUUGUUUUUUUUUUUCUUUCUUUCUUCUUCUUCCUCCUUCUUCUUCUUCUUCUUCUUCCUCAAAAAAAAAAAAAAAAAAACACUUUUAUCUUUUCUUCCUCUUCUUCUUCUUCUUCUUCUUCUUUCUCUUUCCUCCUUCCUUCUUCUCCUUCUUCUUCUUCUUCUUCUUCUUCCUCCGAAUCUGCCCAGAUUCAAUUUUUUUUUUCUUCCUCCUUCUUCUCCUUCUUCUUCUUCUUCCUCCGAAUUUGGGGGAAGAUGAAAGUGUUUUUUUUUUUUUGAGGAAGAAGAAGAAGAAGAAGAAGAAAGAAAGAAAAAAAAAAAAAACAUUCCCCAGAUUUCGGAGGAAGAAGAAGGAAGAAGAAGGAAGAAGGGGAAGAAAGGGAAAGGAAGGAGGAAGGAAGGAAGAAGCAAAAGGAAGAAGCAAAAAAAAAAAAAAAAAAACAAAAACAGAAAGUUGCAGUCGGAGGAAGAAGAAGAAGAAGGAAGAAGAAGAAAAGAAAAGAAAAAAAAAAGAAAAAAAAAAACGUGGAUGACACGUGGCGCCCAAUCAGUGCGCCACGUCACAGUUAACGAAAAACUUAACAGUUUGACUAACGGAUGUAUGAGACUGUCCCAAAAUUUACACUUUAGGUAUGACUCUGAGACGAAAAAAACUUGAUGUACUAAAUGUUGAAAACCACGAAACAUUAGAGUAGUAAACAGUCUUUUACCCUUAUUUUUUUCAACAAAAGUUGCUUCACUUUAAAGUUAAGCAGUAAGAAUGUGUUUGGUAAAAAUAAAUUAUUUUGCUUAUAUUAAAAGUAAUGCAUGUCCUCCAGACAGCAACUUUUAAAAGCAGCAUGUAGGUAAAGCUGUUUUUAAUAAAAAGCAGAAUUGAGCUUUCAAUGAAUAUUUUUAAUUCCUGUAAUAUGCUCAAUAAUUUUAGAAAAUAACAUUAUUUAUUCUUGUAGGCACAUUUUAUCAUUGGAGAACAAAGUGACCACCACUAUAAACCCUAACCUCUUACACUACCAUUGCCAUGAUCACCACCAUUGUUGCCACCACCACCACACUACAAUUGCGCCACCACCACUACAACCAUACACACCACCGCUACCUUUGCCAUCAUUACCACCACACCGCCGCCGCCGCCGCCACCACCACCAUAAACACAACUGCCACCAUCAAUGUUGUUGCCACCCCUACGACCAAUGUUGCCUCUGCAGCCCAACCACCACCACCAUCCCAACCCUUACCCUUAUCACUGUUGUCGUCGUCACCACCAACAUUGUUACGUCUAUUUUUGUCAUUAUAUACAAUUAUAAAUUAUCAAACGCUUUUACGCCGUUUUUCAUACUCAACACUUUUAAAAAUACAAUUCAUCUAACACUCAACUGCUUUAUUUUGUAGCAGAUUAUUCUUAAAGCACAUCAGAAGCACUUUUUUUUAAAGCACAUCAAUCUCAAAAUGGCCGUAAGAUUAUGAGUUUUUCAAUUGAGAUAAAUAUAUAAUUUAUUUGACCAAAACGAUUUUAAAUUAUUUGUAAUAAGAUCACGCGAAAGAAGAACAUAAACGUUACACAUGAAAUUAAACCAAAGCAAAUGAUUUUCUUGGGUUUUAACACCCAUAUAUUUUUUGUUGGUUUAUCAUUUUCACCGAGCUCCACCUCAUUUAUACUUAAAGAAAUGUAUUAUGUUCCGAUCCAGAAACCAAGCUCCACCUCAUCAAUACUUGGAUAAUUUGAUGCAUUACUUUUGUUUCCUUUCUCAAUUUGGAGGCCCAAACAAGAAACAAAGCUACACUAGACAAAGACAACUGCUGUAUAGUGGGUGUUUUAGAAACUUAAAGGAAAGAAACUCAAAAGCUUCAAUUUGUUUGUCGUGCUCCUUUAACUUCCUCUUUUACUGUUAUACAAGCGAAAACAAGAGAGAUUUAAUGAGUAAAGGGAUACUUUACGCCUUGAUAUACAAGUUUAUUGUCAUGAUCUAGCAAGGUUUCUUCUAAGGAUCUUGGCUUUCUUUGUCUAUAAAGAAGUUGGGUUUUUGGUUGUUUAAUUAAUUUCUACUAGAAUUGCAAGAUAAAAAGGGAUACAAACACUACAAGAAAGCCGGGCUUAUGUGACGACAGAUAUUCGUCAUAGAAAAUAAAAAUGCGUCACAUUUGAUAAUAUGUGACGCCUUUACAGCGUCACUGCGAACGUCACCUAUGAUGCGUCACGGAAAGUAUAAGUGACUAAUUUUAAAAGCGCCACAUAUUUGUAGUAUAUGUGACACUGUUUUCGUCAAUUAAUAGGAGAUUGUGACGGAUUAGGCGUCACAAAAGAAUAAAUUAUGUGACCUAUAUAAUUCGUAAUGUAUGAAAUAGAUAAGUGACACUGAAGGCGUCACAUUUUUCUUCCAUUUGUGGCAUAGCUUGGGUCACUUAUGUCAAAAUAAAAUAUCUAUUUUGAAAAUAUAUGUGACAAACCAAUACAAUUCCCUAUUUAUAAUAUGAUGUUACAAUUCCUUGUUUAUAAAAAAGAAUCAAUUAUGUGACCUAUAUAAUUCGUCACUUAUGAAAUAGAUAACUAACACUGAAAGCGUCACAUUUUUCUUCCAUUUAUGGCACAGCCUGGAUCACUUAUGUCAAAAUAAAAUAUCUAUUUUGGAAAUAUAUGUGACAAACCAAUACAUAUUCCCUGUUUAUAAUCUGAUAUUACAAUUCAUUGUUUAUAAAAAAGAAUAAAUUACAUGACCUAUAUAAUUUGUCACUUAUGAAAUAGAUAAGUGACGCUGAAAGUGUCACAUUUUUCUUCCAUUUGUGGCGUAGCCUGGGUCAUUUAUGUCAAAAUAAAAUACCUAUUUUGGAAAUAUAUGUGAUAGACCAAUACAUAUUCCCUGUUUAUAAAGGAUCAAGGGACAAACAUUUUGACAAACAUAUAUAUAUAUAUAUAUAUAAUAUAUAUAUGUUUUUUUUUUUAAGAUGAUAACAUUUCCUGAAUAAAACUGAGAAGAUAUAUAAACCGGCAAGCAAGUUUAUUUAUCUUAAGAAAGUAACAGUAUUUCCAUAUUCACUUUCAGGUUAUUACAACUUUGACGUCGAAAAAAUAAGAACAUUUAGGGAAGAUGUUUUUCUCAUAAGUUAGGGUUUCUUCAAUGUUUGUCGGUUUCUUUACCUAAGUAAGUUUUUAUCUGUCAAAUUAGUUACGAAGGCUUACUGUCAAAUUGAAUGAAAGGUAAUGAAAGCAGAAAAUAGAAAACAAAAUAUCGGAGUUGACUAUUGGUAGGAUGAAUUUGAGUUAAAUUUCUUUGAAAACUUUAAAAUUGACAAGGAUUACCAAAACUAUACAAUUACCACAUAACAAGAACACAAAGGAAACUACGAGCUUGUUUGGUAUCCUAUUUGAAAAUUAUUGUCAUUUCUCAAAACAUUUCUUGAAAACAAUUUUCUUUAAGACUAAAAAACUUGACUGGUUUGCGAUUUACAAUUUUUAAAUCUUACAACUAAAAUUAGGCAAAGAGAUCUAAAAAGAGGGGAUCGUAGGAGAGGGAGAAAGAGGAGAGAAGAGGAAAGAAAGCAAGAGAUGAUUGAAGAAAAGAGAAAGAAGAGAGAGAAUCGAACAAAAGAGAGAGGAAGAGGAGUGAGAGAAAGAACAUAGAGAAUGAAAAGAGCAGAUUGAAAGAGAGACGAAACAUGUAAAAAAAUAAAAAUAAAGAGGAGAGAGAGAGAGAAGAAAAGAGAGAGAUUUGGAGUGAGAGGGGAGAAGGGAGAGAAGAAAAAAAAGUGUGAGUUUAAGUUUAAAAACUCUAAAAACUCACUUUUUAUGUUUUUAGAUAAUAGACUAUAUUUUUGAGUUAGUCUUGAGUUUAGUUUUUUAAGUAGUCUUACCAAAGACUAAAACUUGAAAAUUGUUUUUGAGUUUAAAAAAUUGGAUUCAAGGAAAGUAUCAAACAGACGCUAAAAAACUUGAAACAAAAGUUUACAAACAAACAACCAACGACAUAAGGAAAACAGACUGCAUACUUUUAUUUACACCAUUUUGUAGUACCCUCAAAACUAAUUGGCAAGUUAUUUAAUUACCAUAAGUGAUAAUGCUGUCCAUAAUCUUGGCCACUACCUCCUUAGAAUCCCUAAGCUUUUUUAUGCUUUUGUUAAGCUUCUCACGCUUUACUGCCAUUGCCGGCGACUCCUCCAACAUCCUCUCGAUUCCCCCAUCGUAAUGUCCCAUCAACUCAUUCAUAAUCUCAGCUUCCAUCUCUUUGUUCACAAGGUUAAAAACAGACAGCUGCAAGUGCAAUGCCAUGAAGUCCACAAACCUCCUCAAAACAACCUUCCAAUAGGCAGUCAUUCUCAUUUUAAGGUCAUAAGCUUGAGCUAAAACAUGCGGUUACUUCCUCAGAACACCGACUUCAACUUCCCCGAUGCCUUCUAUAGCUAUGAUAGAAGGUUUAUUCUCGUCAGUUAAGACUCCAUGAAUGAAAACAUUUUGACUAGCCAUCAACUUGUUCCAUUCGGAAACAUAAUCAGCAUUGCAUGUAUAAUCUGUCAGCUUUUCCAUCUCUACAAGCUCCAGCAUCCACUUUGACACGCCCUGAUCCGGAUGUCCUGGAGACAUCGGGAUAGUCACGUGCUGGCCGACACCCGAGGGGUGACGAAAGCCAUUUAAAAGGCAUAAGAACGAGAAAUAUGAAUUUAAUAUAACAUUUAAUAGGCAUUUAAGGAACGUGUUCAGAGCAUAUAACUAAUUAGAAUACUAGGAAAAAAAUGAUAUAAAAAUUGAAUAAACAAAAGGAGUGGGUCCUACACCGAGAGGACUCGAAGAUGCCAAUGUAGAAGUGUCUUGACGCCGGGAUUGUAUGCCUCGAUUCUAAGCCCUGAAGGGGGCGCAAAACAAAGGUGAGUGGACCAGUUUGAUAUACAUAUAAUAAAACAGUUAUCAACAUACUAACCCCCUGAUUUUUAUGAAAACACAUAUAUGUAUCAUGAUAAACAUAAGUUUUCCGAAACCUAGAAUGUCGUGCAAUAUCUCAAAUCAUAACUCGCAAAACAUAAUAAACACUAGUGUCAAAUGUCCACAUAUAUCCAUCCAGGCCCUAUGUCAUCUCCCCAUCCCUGAGCAUACAGUCAAAGAAAAUAUGACUUCAGGCCCUAUGCUAGCUCCACUGUCCCUGUUCUAAAUAGUCAGAGGGAAAUACACUCCAGGCCCUAUGCCAACUCCACCGUCGCCCGGGAUGGACCGAAAUCUAUCCCUACAUCCCGUAGCGGAAAUUGGGACAGCUAGGUAAUACAGAAUCAUCGCACAUAUAUUUAUUCAAAAGUAACAUCAUAUAUCAUUCUUAUAAACUCAUGCUUUUUAUGCGUGCAAUUCUACUAAUAAAGCAUGUAUUUUAGAAGGGGUCCACUCACAGUACUUCACCGUCGAAAGCCGCGCUGCUAACAAAGAUAGAAACGCCACAAUAAUUGCCCCUAAGCACAUAAACGUUCCAAUUAAUAAAUCUUUAUUAAAACAAUUGAAUUUGAGAAAACGGACGUCGAAAACGGAUUCAAGACGUUGAAUUACCUUAAGAAGGGUCCUGGAUAAAUUUCGUAAACGUCAAUAGAAUAUUCCACAUCAAGAGUUUGGGCCGGCUAGGGUUUAAGGGUUUAGUGCUUAAGGCCCUAGGUUAAAAAGGUUUGGGUUAGACUUUUAAAAAGGUUAGGCUUAGGUUAAAUAGGUUUAGGGCUUAGGAAGUUGGGUUGGGUCCUUAAGGGUUUUGGGUUUCUAGGUUAAAGGGUUAGGAAAUUGGGUUGAUAAAAAGGGCCUAGGGUAAAUAAUUGGGUUUGGGCUUAAAAGGGUCACGGAUUGGGCUGGAGACCCGUGGGUUUUGGGCUGGUUUCAAAGGACUUGGGUCGAGUUGAUUCGUUUUCAGGCCAAUGAAAUGGUCGAUUUCUGGGUAUCACUUCGAACGCCCAUAACUUCUUCGUUACUCAUCCAAAAUAAGUAAUCCAAACAUGAAAGUUGUAGUACUCGACGAGAUGAAGAGAUUGAUACCCUGCACUCCGCCAAACUCUCCGUGGUUUGGCCGGAAAACACCUCGAAAGGGGCGGUGCUCGUCGGAAAACUGGGUUUUUUGGCCGAAUGUUUGGGUAAUUUUCAAAGCUUUGUAACUUCUUCGUUUCUUAACCACAUUGAGUGAUUCAAAAUCUAAAAUGUAGUUAGGAAUGUGGAGAAGAGGUUCAUACCAAGUGAGGACCGAGUGGUUACCGGAGUUCACCGAAAAACGACCUGAAAAAUCAUAGCAAAAGACAGCAUAGUGAAAGAGGCUUGAGUUGUAGUGCUAGUUGCUGGAGUCGAAGAAGGGGUUGUGGUAGUGAGAGUAGAAAGAAACGGAGCGGAGGGAGUUGGGAAAGAUUGUGAGGUCGGUUUUGAGGUGGCAUUGGAGAAACUAGUGGAGAAACCAAAAGAGGAUUGCAAAGCGGAGGAAGCCAGAGUUCCGAAGGAAGAGAAUCUGGAAACGGUUAUUGAUGGGGGAGCAGCGGUGGUGGGAGCAGAGGUUGUGGGUUUCAAAAGAGAGGAGGAUGUUGGUAAUGUGAAAGCUGAAAAGGAAGUGGAGAAGCUUUGGAACCAUUGGGUGGUUAGAGCUAUAGAGGAUGACGGUUGGGACGAGGAAGUUGUGCCAGACAGCGGCGAGGGUACGCUGGGUGCAUAGGACGUUGUGCCAAACAAGUGCGAAGCGGAAGUUGAGGGGUUCCAAACAGGGGUGUGGGUGCGCUGGGUGCAAAUGAGGUUGCUCUGAAUGGGGAUGAAGUGGCGAAAGAAGGAGCGCCGAAUAGAAGGGACCAUUGGGUGGUUUGACCUAUAGAGGAUGAAGGUUGGGACGAGGAACUUGUACCAAACAGCGGCGAGGGAGCGCUGGGUGCAUAGGACGUUGUGCUAGACAACUGCGAAGCCAAAGUGGAGGAGGUUCCAAACAGGGGUGUGGGUGCGCUGAGUGCAAAUGAGGUUGCUUCGAAUGGGGAUGAAGUGGCGGAAGAAUGAGCUCUGAAUAGAGGGGACCAUUGGGUGGUUGGAGCUACAAAGGAUGAAGGUUGGGACGAGGAAGUUGUGCCAGACAGCGGCGAGGGUGCGCUGGGUGCAUAGGACGUUGUGCCAAACAACUGCGAAGCAGAAGUGGAGGGGGUUCCAAACAGGGGUGUGGGUGCGCUGGGUGCAAAUGAGGUUGCUCUGAAUGGGGAUGAAGUGGCGGAAGAAUGAGCUCCGAAUAGAAGGGACCAUUGGGUGGUUGGAGCUACAGAGGAUGAAGGUUGGGAUGAGGAACAUGUGCCAAACAACGGUGAGGGAGCGCUGGGUGCAAAUGAGGUUGCUCCGAAUGAGGAUGAAGUGGCAGAAGAAGAAGCUUCGAAUAGAGGGGAGACGGAUGCGGUGAAGGUGGUGGCAGGUGCGGAGGAUAUGAAUGGGGAGGUGCAAGAGCCGGAACAGAAUAAGGAAGGAGGGUUGGAGAAAAAGAAAUGGAAGUGGAUUGGGCGGAAGAGGAAGAAAAGGAAAAGCCAGUGGUGGACGUGGUGGCAGGUGUGGAGGAUAUGAAUGAGGAUGUGGAAGAGCCGGAAAAGAAGAAGAAAUGAGGGUUGGAGAAAGAGAAAGGGGAAGUGGAUUGAGCGGAAGAGGAAGAGAAGGAGAAGCCGGUAGUAGACGUGGUGGCAGGUAUGGAGGAUAUGAAUGGGGAGGUGGAAGAGCCGGAACAAAAGAAGGAAGUAGGGUUGGAGAAAGAGAAAGGGGGGUGGAAAAGGAAGAGAAGGAGAAGCCGGUGGUGGACGUGGUGGCAGGUGCGGAAGAUAUGAAUGGGGAAGUGGAAGAGCCGACUGAGAAGGAAGGAGGGUUGGAGAAAGAGAAAUGGGAAGUGGAUUGGGCGGAAGAGGAAAAUGCCGAGGAUUCAAAUAAAAAGCUCGACAUUGUUUUCUCUCUUCUGCUGCUGCUGCUGCUCUAUGUUAUUGAGAGGUUUUUCAAAUUUUGGGGUUUUUGGUUAACACAUUUCAAAGCCUUCUCUUUUCAUUUUCUGGUUGUCAAUGGCUUCAUCCGCCUAAGUUUUCACAUUCUGGAGAUUUUGUUUCACUUUUACCAUUGUAAGACUAUAGAUCAUAGAUGCUGACAUGGUUGGACAGAUGUCGAAUAAUGGUGUCGUUGCGGCCCCCACCGUCAAAGAAAAAGCAGUCCCCAUGGGCAUUCAAGCUGAAAGAGAACUCAUAAUUGUAUAAAGGUUUUGCAUCACAUUCAUAACUCGAUCCGAAAACUUCACAUCUCAGAUUUUCGAUCUGUAACUUCCAAAGAUUUACAUUAUGCUUCUAAAAUAAUAUACUAAAAUAUUACCAUGAUUCGACAGUCGGAUCUUCGCCAAUCAAAAUUCAAGUGGCAGUCAACAUUUUAUUUUGCGAACUUACUAAUCCAAUUCAGGAAGAUUCAUACGUCAAAUUCCCAAUCCGUAAGUUUCUAUGGUCCUCAAAUAUUACGUACUAUAAUGUAUUAAAGUUUUGUGCCAAUCCAACCAUCAGAUCAUCGAUUGCUAUAAUGUUAAAGAGGCAUACCUUAGAGAAAUUAUACCCAAACGAUGGAAUUUCAUUAAUCGGAUGUCAAAUAUGGAAUCAAGGCAUCCAAAUUAGCCUAGUAAGGUCAGGUGGGGUAUUAGCCUAGCGCUGCCGCACACGGCAACUGACCACCCCAACUCGUCGGAAAAUUCAACUAAUUUCAAAAAUUCUCAAAUUUUACCAGAAUGAAGAUCUCAAUUAGUAGAGCAAGUUUUAUACCUAUGGCCACACCUUAAAUCGCCACAAACCUACCGGAACCCUAGAAAUGGGUGGGUUUCAAUUCACCCUCUCCGAUGCUUUGACGUGCCAACCAAAGCUUGGGACUUGUUCCUGGGUUCAAGAGGUGCUGAAAUAUGGUAGUGGUUGACGAAAGAGCUCGCAGAAAUAGCGGAUUCCACUGUCGUGGCUUCGGAACACCCACCAUAGGGUUUGAAUGGAAAAGGAAGAGAUGAGGCCGAAGUGAUGAAUGGUGGGGGUGGAUGGUCACGAUUCACCAGAAAAAUGGCUGAAAUCACGACGGAAAAGGUGCAAGAAGUCUGGUCAUGAACCCGGUAAAAAAGGAUAUGGUGCUCCUCCACUCAAUAGCAAUUAAAUUGCUACCUCGAAAUAUUGAUCAUUUAAAUACUUGAUUGCAAUACUUAUCUGUCAAUCAUGUAUUAUGCUUAAAAUCUCUAUAUAACAUCUCAAAUGGUGCCAAACCAAAAAUUGAAAUAGUAAUCGUAGUUACAUGCAACCUUAACAAAGAUGAGUGUCUAUUACAAUCAUGCUAAAACUAUAGAACGGAUAAAUGCAACAUGUUCACAAAUGUCUGGAUAGUUCAUUCGAACUAGUAGUUAAUCUGAGGGUGAAAUGUGGUAAUACAUAAUAACUUUGUAACCAUGGUUUUCAAGAAGACUCCCAAAACUUGGAAGUGAUACACGCAUCAUGAUGAGGUACAACAAUGACAUGCACAUUAGGCAUCCAAACAUUAUAAUUCAUAUAUGUCACAACAAGUAGAUUCAUUAUGAAAAUUUCUCUCGAAUUUAGUGAAACACUGUGUCGAGAAGGCUAAAAGAACAAUCAAGAAUUUGAGAAUUAAAAUAAGUCCAUCAAUCUAGAAUACAAAGUAACUAGAUUAAUGCAUAACAUCUCACUACAAUGGUAGCUUCUAGAAUAUUCAAUCACCAACGGUAACGAUUCGCUUAGCAGAGUUUGUUGAGUGAUUGAGAAAUUAAUGGUCACAACUGCAAUUCCAAUGUCAAUGGUUCUUCUAGACAGUUUAUCAACUUCAAAAUAAUGCGAAGUGCAAUAGGGUAGGUAGUACCCAAGGUUGACUGGAAUGCCUUCUAACACAAAAGGUGAAUAUGAAAUCACAAUCAAAGUAGAUGUUGAUCAAAAUGUCAGAAAAUCUGAAAAAUUCAAGAAUGAGUAAUUUUCUCAAGUGAUCAAAAUGUAUUCCCUAUGGACCAAUGGAAAGUAAGCUAACUUGUCAAGUCGGCGAUAAUCACCGAAACAUCAUUGUAAUAUCCACAUAUACAAGAUACCUCAUACCAGGAGCUUAUGGUGAUAUUUCUCAUCUCCAUUUGGAUAUAGAAAGUGAAUAUAACCACUCGAACGAUUUCUUGAUAAUUUGUAAGUAACGUCAACCCAAUGCUCAUGAAUUCCAACUAAAAUGAAAUAGGACAGACUAAAAGCAUUUCGGGAGUAGAUAAUGUCUUUUGAUGUGGCAAACAGUAAUUACGUUUCCACAACGAGGAUGAUACACGAUUGUGUAAUUGUAGAUGUUAAUUUGGUUCCUCUAUCACCAUUGUCAGAAAUCUAUUUCUUUCCAAAUGGAUAUGUACUUGCGAGGUCUAAGAUUGAUAGAGAUUUUGGACACGUUUCUCUAUAGAGAAGUGUCAUUCAGUUUUUAAGUAAGAUGGUAACUAUUGACUCUAAGUUAUGAAUAAGAUGGUUCAUUCCAAACGGUUCUACACGUUGGGAAAUAUAAGCGAUUCUCCGUCAUGCUGCCUCUGUACAGCCAAAACAUCCAAAGAACACAUCAUCAUGGAUUUUCAAAAUAAUUAUUAUCAUCGAAAGGUGUAAAACGAAGGUAAGAUGAGACAACAAUUUAGUUGUCAGAAACUUUAUUCAUAAUCAACAUCAUAACUAAAUUAACUUUCCUCGAUCGUAAAUGAGGAAAAAACACUACAGCCGAAGGAUCGCUAACAAAUUGUCGAUAAAAUCGACAUGACCAAAGAUAUCUCGAACGUCACUACACUUCGUGUGAAUUUCAACUUUCUUCCACUAAACCCUUUUUGGAAAAGAAAAGAUUAUCGUUUACGAAGAUCACGUCUCCCAAGAAAAGUACCAAUUUAAUCAAAGUUAAUAGUUGAGCACUUUGGUAUAAAGCUGACUAUUGAUAUUUAGAGAAUUUGGUCUCACUGUCAAGGUAGAUGAAAAAGUCAUCGAUAAGACCACUAUGAAUACGUUAGGCUAUGGGAGAAAACUCAGGUUACAAAGGUUGGUCAGCUCGACCAUCAACUCGAAAUAGGGGCUAACGGUUUUUGGUCGUCACGUGAUUGAGUCGCUAAAGUCUAGGUACAACCCUAAGGUUCAACCUUUCGCCUUUACGAAUAGGUUUGAGAUUCUCUAGAUAAAGUGUUUGGUUAGAUACAGGGUCGGGCGUGUCAGUUUGGUAUUAGAGCGUGGUUUGUUCAUAGCAUACUUAGGAUCUUCUAUUAUUGUAGUAGUGUGUCGAUCAUGACGUCAUUUGGAUGUCACGACUUCCUGAUUUGUUGUCUUUCGGCACAGUUAUGCAACCCUCAUUCUGCAUGAAUAGUCACAUCUUAUGGAAGAAAAAGAAAAUUCGUGUUGGGAUUUUGCCUCAGUGUUGACGAAAUGGAUUGUUGAACAACUUUCAACAUCGAACUGAUACUCUAUAGCAUGCGUUCCCUAAGAAUUGCGAGUAGAGUUGGUGUUUACAUUGAAGUGACUAUCUAAGCCGAAGAAACUAUCAUAGACACUUAAGAGCAAGUCUUGUAGAAUGACUGUAACCUCCUAGUUGUUUUAACCAUGUUUUCCACUUAGGUAACCAAAACCUCUUCGUCUAGCCACAUUUUCGAUCACUUCCACAAGUGGACAAUAGAAUCGAAGUACAAGUUAACUUCUCAUUAUUAGAGUGAAGUAGCGUAUCGAGAAAGCUACAAAGACUUAUUAGCACGUGUCUACCCUGGUGUUCGGUAGAUAUCAGGGUCGGGCGUGUCAGCGAGUAUCUUUGACAUAAUUCAAAGACGUAGUAACUAAAGUAUGCUUAAUAGACCUCCAAGAAAUUGUGGUUCCACCAACAAUACCCAUUUAGGAUCUUGCCAUGUACGGAUCGAAUAAGUACAUAGCGUCAACAUAACCAACAAAAGCAACUCGAAAACUAGGGGGAGGGGGGACGGUUGCACUCAAAGUUGAGUAAGGAUAGGACAAACACAAGUCCACAACACUAUUAAGAUAACAUAGAGUUUUUUUAACACAUUUCAAUGUCUGCAUGUUGGCACAUGAUUGUGUUAUGCUAAGAGAUUUAUAAUGCAGGAGAUGUUAGGUCUUGUACACUGAGAUAAGUACAACAAAGCACCAAUUGCACUUAAGUAUGGAACCUCAGGUUCUAAAACUUCUUCAUCAUCUAUCUUUGGACGGUAUAGGUCUUAUUGUGCAUCAAGCGUACAGAUGACAAUGAGAGUACUCAAAGUCCACGCUUUAUCAUUAAAGCAUUGUAACAUCGUCUUGGUGUAGUUUGACUAGUUGACCAUGACUAAUGGACCAUAAUGUUGGAUUGUGAACUACCUUAGUAUAUAUGUGCAGAAGUGUGGAGGUUGGCAUAAACAUAAAUAAUCAUUUUAACAUGCAUGUUUGCGAAAUGCUGGAUUCCAUUUAAUCAUAUUAAAUUAAUUUAUGUAUUGGUUAUGUUCAUGUAUAAUAAAAUUAAGAACACAUGUAUAAACUUAGAGUACGUUUUAGAAUUCUAACCUUUAGAUUUCAUAGGUGGACGAAUUCAAUGUUGUUGAGGCUACUAAGUGUUAGCCGUCUACUAGUAUCUACACAAAUAAAUCUUCGGCUAGUGAAGCAAGAAGACAACGAUCUGCUAGAACUUUAUCUAUUAGGUAGGUGCUGCGGCAGAGGUACAAUGCAUUGUUAUGAAGUUGGUCUAUAUUGUCACGCCUCGCCCCGAAAUAUAAAUAUAUUAAAUCUUCGGCUAGCGAAGCAAGAAGACGACGAUCUGCUAGAACUUUAUCUAUCAGGUAGGUGCUGCGGCAGAGUGACAAUGCAUUGUUAUGAAGUUGGUCUAUAUUGUCACGCCCCGCCCCAAAAUAUAAAUAUAUUUCGGGAAUUAAUUAUGGUAGGCCCAACUUAAAAACGUAGUUAAUUUAUUUCCUUUAACCACAUCCCUCUAAGUCAAUAUUACUUACUAUUACAAGCUAUCCAUAUUUUCUUAAAAUGUCAAACAUAUCUUUCAUUUAACAAUUGAAUUCACUAAUAUUAGUUGUCAUUCUCCAAAUAAUUCCCUUCGUCCCACGUAGAAUCUAUAACCAUUAUUCGUUUACCAAGAUAUACAAUUUACUUUCCAAUUUAGAACCAUUUCCUUCUCUUAGAUCAAAUUCCAUCUAAACACUAAUUCUCGAUUAUUUAGUCUCACUUAUUUAUGGCUGCAUCUAACGUCUUGUUAGACUGCCUACGUACCCUAAACAAAGAUCAAGCCAUUCGUAGUUCACAAAUUCAAAUUCAAUUAAACUUUGAUAUUUCUACACAUAAUUAACAAUCACCAACUAGCUUCAAAUAAGUGUAUCACAUUAAAUACUUAUUUAACUUGAAUCCAAAACAUCAAAUUUAGCUUAAAAUACGGCAUCGGUUCCCUAGCCAUGCGUCGUCGCCGUCCUGACUUGCCGAAAAAUUCAACUAUUUCUAAAAAUUCUCAAAAAUUACAAAAAUGAAGAUCUCAAAGAGUAGAGCAAACUUUAUACCUAUGGCCAAGCCCAAUUUGGCCGGGAAACACCUCAAAUUGGCCACGAACUGCCGAAAACUCUUGUUUUGGGUGUUCUUGAUUUGUCUCCAAAACAACUUCGACGCCUCAACCAAUGCAUGGGCUUUGUUCUAGGCCUCAAGAAGAGUAUGAGAGUAGUGGUAAUUGAAUGAAAUCACUUCAAAAUUUGGUGAAUUUUGACACCUACACCGUCGCACCCACCGGUGCGUUUUACCCCAUUUCAAGGUCAAAUUUCAUGAUUUUUGGGGGGUAACAGGGUUAGGGAAGGUCAUUGAGGGUUUUCCAAGUGGUAGUUUAAAUUGAUUUGCUGGAAAAUGGGCUAAAACUCACCAAAAAUAGCAAGGAAAACCGACCGAAUCGAGUCGGGUCCUUUCAGGUCAGGGAUCCCCCGUACCCCUUUUCUCUCAUUUUCCCCCCUUUCUCCUUUCUCCCAUUGGUCAACCUCCCCCUAUUCCUUCCUUCCUUUUCUCCUUUCUAUUCUUUUCUUUCAAUCUCAACCGUCCAUUUCUUUAUUUAUUUUCAUCUCAGCCACACACGUGGCACAACCAUUGGAUCAAAUUUUCUGGAGCCUUCUACCAUAAAAUGAAAUUAUUAAAAUAUCCUUAACUUUAAACGUUAAUAUCUUCUUUGUUAUAACUUCGUUUCAUGAACGGUUUGUGCCUACACAUUCAUGAGAUCGAGCUCUAUUCAAAAAUAUAAAUUGUCACUCUGAAUAGUUUUCGGAUUUUUAAAUAAUAAAUUCCCAAACUUAGAACUUCUUAACCAGUUUAAUUUAAAACUAAACUCGAAUAAAUUAAUAUAAUUUCUUGAAAAAUAAUCUAAAAUCUCAAUCAUACAAAUACAUAAAUUAUAAUAAUUUCCGAAAAUAAAACUUUAAAAUUUUCCAAUUCUACUUUCAUAACCAUAAAUCGAUUUAUUUUCAAUUUUCUCCACAUAUUCAUAUAUUUAAAAUUUCAGGGUAUUACAUAUAUUGUAUUGGAAAAUAAACAACAAGAAAGUUCAGAUGCCAUACCCUUUAAUAGCCAUAACAAGUGUUGAAGUUGUCGAAGUUGUAGUUUUACUAGAACUGUUUGUUGUCGUUUCAGGUACAAUGUAAGGAAUAUUUCGUCAAAACUAGGUUUAUGGAUAAAAAAUAAAAAAAAACAUACCAACUCAAGCAGUAAGGAUAAACAACUAAAUUAUUCUAAACAAGUGAACUCCAAAUGUAAUGACCUGUCUCAAAAUUUUAUAAAUUUCAGAACGACAAGGGUAAAUUGGUAUUUUCACAUGUGAGAGAUAUUUGCAUGUUUGUCUCUUAUGACUUGUUUGGUGCGCCAAUGAGGCCCACCGCUUUUAUUUGGGGACUAGGAUUAUCUCUUCUGACACACCCUGACCCAAAAUAUCGAGAUGUGCUGGCAGUCACGUGAGGAUGACGUAGCCAUGCGCGUUGUGCGGAAGAAUUAAAGUGAAAGACAGUGAGGAAACGAAAAGUAAACCGAAUAAUUUACAUCAAAAGAUAAGUGAGUAAAAGUGAUGAAAAGGAAAGCAUAAAGCACCACAUCAAAGUUCAAGUAACCUAGGUGCAGUCCGGAAUAAACAAGUACUGAAUAAACGUUAACCAAAUAAAUCCUACAUGGAUGAUGCCUUGUUAAAACUGUCUCGAUGCCUCGCUCGCCACCAACGUCGCAACUACCUAAAACUUGGAGCGGCGCAAAACUGAAAACAUGAGUGGGUAAAAACAAAGUUUUUCCAAAACCGUUUCAAUAUCAAAAUAGUAACCCCUCUCCCUAUACUUUCUCAGAAAAUAUCAUCCAUACUCAAAUAUCAAUCAUGCUGGAAAACGAUAAAUCUCAAAUAUGCCAUGUUAGAAUACGACAUGUCGAAUUACCCAAUCAAAACAAAAUAAGUAUCAAGUAGGUGAGAUAAAUCAAAUCAUAAUAUGCCGCCAAUCUCAAUACGUCAGUUGGAGUCACCUAACGUGAACUGUACGACUGAAUAUAUAGCUCCUCAAUCACUAUCUUGCACACGAGUCGGAACCACCUAUAGUGGUCUGUACGACAGGCUGGGUGUAUAAUUACGCUCAGUGCUACGAUCACGUGAAGGCUGUGCAACGUAUCACAAGUCACCUAUGAGUCGGAACCACCUAUAGUGGUCUGUACGACAGGCUGGCACCUGCCUUGGGUCCAAGGUGAGCGUACGGUGCGGGAGGUGAACGAUCACGUGAAGGCUAUGCCGUACUCUGGCAGAGCACAAACACCGGGGUGCAGGAAUAUGAGCUAUAUCUCAAUCUCAUCAUCAUCACAACUAUCACUAACAAGUAUACUCACCUGACUUACCUGAGCGACGCCAAUUCAUAACCAACAUAAAUCAUAAUAAACAAUAAUGAUAUUCGACAUGGCAUUUCAAUUAUAAAACCAUUUUAAAACAUAAUAUCUGGGAAAAUAUCAAAUAUAUAUAUAUAUAUUCUGAAAACAAAAGCCCACUCACUGAUAAGUAGAAGGGUCUUAGCCCCCGAGCCUGGCAUGGCUGUGCUCGUCUUCUGGAUAAGCCUUACCUAUAUGUGAAACAACUAUAAAACCGUCAAUUAAACGCACAUAACCAACCUUAGGUAAUAACUUCUCAUACAUUGCUCAAUUGGAGGUGUUUGAAUCUAACAACAUGCUUUACUUAAUCUCAGAACACCCUCAUAUUUUUAGAAAAAAUUUCUUGUCACCCACGCGUAGGCACGUGCCUGGCACACGGACGGAACAGUUAAUGCCGUAAGGAAUAUUUUGUUAAAAAGUAACAGAUUCCAUUAAAUCUAACCUGACACUGUUAGAAUAUUCCAUCAAACUUGACGGAAUAUUCAUCGUCUCCUUCCUUGAGUCACGGGAGUCCGGCGCCGGUCGCCGUCUGUUUGCGGGUUUCUGGAAAAUUUUCAAAUGUUGAUAUCUCAGUCAAAUCUUAACUAAAUUUCACGAAAUUAACGUCAAAAUGAAGCUUAGGACAAGGGGAAGAAAUCUAUACCAAUUUGAGGUCCCAACGAUGCUGGAAUCUCGCCAGAGAAAUCUCGAAAAAUCUGAUCAACUAUAGAACUCAAGAUUUCGACAUCCAAAACACGUCAACGUUGCUCCCCAAGCUUCGUGAAGACGUCUAGAAACUCCCUGUGAUCUUAGAAUCUCUAAAAACCUCCUCAAUCACGAGUGCAUGAACAAUACCUUUAUUGGAGCUUUCAGGUUUCAAGGGUUUUCAAGGUUUUCAGGACAAACCAAGGGUAUAGUUGAACUUGCAAGGGUGCAAGGAGAAGCAUGUAUAUCCGUACUUAGGGUAUGGAAAAUAGAAGAAAAAUCGAGAAGGAGGGAGAGACAGAACCAGAAACAGAAAAGGAAGAAAAAGGGGUGCACGUGUGCAUGUGUGUGUAUAAGUUUAACCAAUCACACCAAAACUAAGCUCAAGUUCUAAUUGGGUCCAAUAAUUUGGGAUAUCACCCUAUUGGCCCAAUGUAGCUCACACACAUAACCACAAACACGUAAGGGUAAAAACGUCAAUUCAUGCCGUCGAUAAAAUUAUUUCGGGACGGUCUGUCACAUCCUCUCUUUUUUCACCCCCUUCUUUAAUAUUCUUUAUUUUGUAUUUUUUUAUAUAAAUAAAAUAUUAAUAUAAAAUGUAAUCAUGAUCUAUUUGAACGGAAAUUGGAUGGAAAAAAAAAAGAUGAGAGACUUCUCAUUUAUUUGGUCUCCUGGUCCUCCCUCUCUCUUCCUUUUCCCCGUCACUCUCCUCUCAUCUUGGACUAUCACACUCUCUAACUCUCCCGGCCCUCAUCUCUCUCGCACGACCCUCAUCCUCCUUCAAAACCCAAAAAACUGGCGAUUCCACGGAACUGAAACCAAGCUGAAGUCCCCAUCCUUCUCUGUUCCCCCAUCAUCACUGUUCUCUCCUCCCUCGGAACCCUGCAACAUCACCAUCGCGGCAGAGCCGCCUUCUCCGGCGAGUUCGUCGAUUUCCCGACUUGGGGUAAGCCUCGGGAUGCUUAAGAUCUUCAACUGUUACUUAUCUUUUUGUCCUAUUUGCUGCUAAUGAUUUGUAGCAAGAGUUGAUUUUUAACUGUUUCUAAUUGGUAAUGGAUUAAAGGAAGUUCAUUUACUAUUAGAGGUGCAUGUGAAAGUAAGCUUGAUUCGUAACCUCGUCGAGCAUUUGGAGCUCGCUUUGACUGAGGUUUUUCGAUUUGAUGUGAUGGCGUAUAAGCUUUUCUCAGUUUCUCGGUCAUUUUAAGGGUGACCAAGAUUAUCUCUGUGAGCAAUGUUGAGGUUAGGGAUUGGAAGUAAAUGAAAAGGGGUGUCUUUUCAUCAAAGGCUGAGGCCAAGAUUAUCUUUUGAGAAAACUUUGAGGCCUUACCUAGAUUGCAAGUCUCUGUUAAGUUCCAAUUGACGAAGAUGUUUAAAACUGUUGAAAUUAUACUGCCUUAAUUGAAAGGAGGCCUUACCUAGGAUAAUAUCUAGCUCAUUCGGGGUCUUUUUUUGGUUCUUUAACUACAUGAAAUUUGCAUUGAGAUGAAUUCUUAUCCUGAAUGAGUACAUGUGAGAAUCACGCGUGAUUGACGGAAAAUUAUGAAAUAAGAUAAUGAAUUCCGAAGGCUGGGUGCUCAGCUGGAGAUGCGGAUAAACAAAGAAUUAUAUGUUGAUUUGAAAAGGAAGACGUUUAUAUUGUUGAUUGGAGUAUAUAUGGCCGAUGAGAAUAUGCUAAACCGAUAGUUGCUCCUUGUAGGUUGCGGGGGAAGUGGUAACAUUAUGUGUUCAGAAUGUGGUGGCCGCGGGUAUCUAAGAUGACCAUACCGGUUCGCUUAUCUUCCUUGAAUUUGUUGUAUGUGCAAGUAACUUGUGUUAUAGCCAUGACGCUUUCCCUAAUUUUUUGUGGCUGAUUCCACGAUGAGUUAAGUGUAACAGUAAUGCAUCUGAUUCAUUUACUCUUCGAAAUGGUGUUCUUCCUCAGAUUUAUGUGCCAUUUAUCGUGUUGAAUGUUCAGAACCAUACAAUUACCACAUAACAAACACAAAGGAAACGAAAAAACUUGAAACAAAAGUUGACAAACAAACAACCAACGACAUAAGAAAACAGACUGCAUACUUUUAUUUAGACCAUUUUUAGUACCCUCAAAACUAAUUGGCAAGUUAGUUAAUCCCCAUGAGUGACAAUGCUGUCCAUAUUCUUGGCAACUACCUCCUUAGAAUCCCUCAGUUUUCUUAUGCUUUUGUUAAGCUUCUCACGCUUUACUGCCACUGCCGGGGACUCCUCCAACAUCCUCUCAAUUCCCCCACCGUAUGGUCCCAUCAACUCAUUCACAAUCUCAGCUUCCAUCUCUUUGUUCACAAGGUUGAAAACAGACAGCUGCAAGUGCAAUGCCAUGGAGUCCACAAGCCUCCUCAAAACAACCUUCCAAUAGGCAAUCAUUCUCAUUUUAAGGUCAUAAGCUUGAGCUAAAACAUGCGGGUACUUCCUCAGAACACCGACUUCGACUUCCCCGAUGCCUUCUAUAGCUAUGACAGACGGUUUCUUCCCAUCAGUUAAGACUCCUUGAAUGAAUUCGUUUUGACUAGCCAUCAACUUGUUCCAUUCGGAAACAUAAUCAGCAUCGCAUGUAUAAUCUGUCACCUUUUCCAUCUCUACAAGCUCCAGCAUCCACUUGAUUGACCUUUCCUUCAUCUUGGCCAUUAGAUUAUGGCCGGCACGCCUUGCUGACAGCUGCAGCUGAUAAUAGUUCUCCGAAUUACGCAUCAAGACAGAAAUAACCGCCUCUUCAAUGUAGAUCCACACUCGUUCCACAAAUGCAAUCGGAAUACUUGAAAUUCCAUUCACUUUUCUCUGCAAGAUAAUGUGGAAAGCAUUGCGCGGAAGAAAGUUCGGAAGUGAAAUACCUUUGUUCUCCUCCAAGAUCUUGAUUUCCUCCAUCAAGAAGUUGCUCUUUGCAUCACUUUCAGGACAUCUGUGAAGUUCAUCCGAGUACUGGUUGAGCAUCUCAACCAAUCUAGCAGUGCAGUGCAUGCGGUUGUCUUCCGCGUACUCCUCAAAUUCUCCUCUCAAAAGGAUCUUCCUAAGCGAUUCCUUAGCCAAGCCAAUGAUUUGCAUAAAGGCCGUCAUGGCCUCAGCAACAGACGAAAGACUCUUGGGCAUUUUAUUCAGUUCCAUAAUGCAAAAAUUCAGCCUGUCAUUGAUCUUCUUCACUAUAUCGGGUAAAUUUUUUGCCAUGCUGUUUGGGCAUUUUAUUCAGUAGUCAAGGUAACGUUCUGCUAUGGUUAACCACCCGUAAGGGUCCUCGCCAUUAAAUCAUGGCAGUUCCAUUUUAAUAGCUUUAAAAUGUGAAUGAGGGUUCUAGGGAGGUGGGUUGGGUAAUAUGGGAAGGGAGGGUGGUGAGGAGUUGGGUGCCGUGGAGGGACUUAAGUGGAAGGAUUGUGAGUGUGAUAAAUGGUAGGGUUGGGGCUGUAGCGGUGGGAAUGGGGGUGGGUGAAGUGGUGGUGGUGUAAGUGGAAAAUGGGGCUAAGCUCGGGGAGAGUGGGUAGGAAAUGCCCAGACUUGAGGAUUGAGCACUGAAAGGCACAAAAAUUAAACGAAAUCAAGGGGAUGGGUUAAGGUUAGAGGGACGAGGACCGAGAAAUGAAGUGGUCUGGUGUUGAGGUUGAAUGGGGGUUGAAGAGGGGUUGGGUGUGUGGUGGGUGGCGGUGUGGGUGGAGGUUUGGGAGGGUGGAGGCCCCGAUUUGAGGAUUCGAAGUUCGCCAAGCAUUAGGGAUUGAAAAGCUGCAAACUGUGAGGUUAUAUUGUUUUGAAAAGCUGUGUUGGAGGUGUUCAAGGUUUCGAGAGAUUUCUGGAGGUGGGUUUGUUGUGUUUCCAGGGCGAAGAUUGAGUCACACAAGUCAUCAACUUGAGUUCGCAGGUAUUUUUGACGAACAUCAACCGCAACAGUGACGGCGUCUGGAUCAGAGGUGGCGGACUGCAUGUUUUUGCCCAUUAAAUCGACGGGCUCUGAUACCAAUUGGUAUGCCCAAUCGGUUCAGGUUGGCUGAAAAUGGCAACUUUAAUACAAAAUAGUGCAGGAAUUUAAAAGAAGAAAGGGAAAGAAGAGUUUGAGAAAAAAGAGGCAACUUUAAUUCAUCAUUUCAUAGGUUCUUUCUACUCUCCUUUGUUACAAAUUUAUACUCCUCAUAAAAGGAAAAAACCCUAGCUACUUGGACGUAAGGAAAGAAGGCUGGUACGGCCCGGUUACAAGAGGAGAAGUAGUGGACUCAAGUAAAUGGGCUUAACAUGGUGUCGUUGGGGCCCCACCAUCAAAGAAAAAGCAGUUCCAUGGGCAUCCAAGAGGAAAGAGAACCCACAAUAGUAUAAAGAUUUUGCGUCACACUCAUCGCUUCGGCAUCAAUCCUUUUCCCUCCUUGCCGAUGUUCUUUAUAUUUUACUUUCUUUCUUCAUAAGUUGUUUGUAGAUGACAUGUUCUGAGAAUCUCUUGGGUGUCGUAUGCGUGCUACAAUACUCGUUUGUGUCAAAACACACAUAAACAUUAUUCUUUCCGUUGAGAUUUAAAAUUAAAAGUCUAUAGACACUUUUUGGUGAACUCGAAUUAAGGAAUUCUCAUUUUAUGUGUUAAGUUUUAUGCGGAUGAGUUAAGUGAUACAAAUUCAAAAAUUACUCUACAUUUUAAGCUGUUGUUUUUUUUUAACAUUUAUAAGCACAUAUAACUGAACUAGGACGCCACACAACAAUAAACCAAUUUUGUAUAAAUCAUUGUUACUUGGAGAUUAAGAUUAUGGCACCAUGAAAUAUUAAAUAGUUUUGCAAGAAAAAAAAGAACGUGGGAAAGAUGACAGGGCUAAAACAAUUGAGACUACAAUUUAGGACGCAUUGUACCACAUCUUUAAAAAAAGGUGGAAUUUUCUUAUAUUAGUGAACCCUACUUUUAUUAAAUAGUUUUCAAUGUAAUUUAGUAAAGUAUAGCCUCUCUAGCAUGAUAAGCCUAUGAGUAAUUAGCAUUUGUAGACAUCAAAUGCUAAUGAGAAAAAAAAAAAUCUAAUUUCAUCCUAUCCACCUCUAUUAUAACAUUUAUGUUUCAAUGCAUAUACUAAUGAUCAAAAUUCAAAUUUCAAUUGUAGAACUGAACAAAAUUAAAUAUUGGUAACAAAGCAAUAACAUCUGAGCUGUGAAAGCAAAGAGAAAAGUACCACGAUAUAAGAACUUGCGUCACAAUCAAAGCUUCAACAUCAAUCUGUCCCUCCUUGCCAAUGUGCUUUACAUUUUUUUUUUUACUUUCUUCAAAUUUGUUUGUAGAUCACAUUCUUUGAGAAAAUUUUUAGUUCACUAGUUUUGUCACGUCACUUGUUCUUUUAAAAAAAAAAAGAUUCUUUCGCAUCAUCAGUUCAUCACACUACAAUCAUGACUUUAUUGGAUGGAUAACAAUAACAAAAACAAAGUCUUAUUCUAAUAAGUGAGGUCGGCUAUAUAAAAUGUCACUGCAUUCAGUUUUGCUUCAUGUUCAUUAGAUGAAUAAUACAAUUUUUUCAAUACAUGACCAACUUUACAAAUAUUUUUGGGAAGUAACAUUUACACAAAUUAUUUAGCUUCUUUUUUUUUUUUUUGACAAUUGUGUGAGAAACUAAAAAAAGUGAAAAUAAAAUCUACGACGCUAUUGGAACUAAUUUUUUAUUACAUAAAAAAGUCCCUCUGCCUAGUAAAAGGAGGAGAAUGUGACAUGAUUGCUUUUAUUCAAUCCACAUUCUCCCCCACUUGACCAUUUCAUGAGAAAGGAUCAUCCUCAAAUUCCUUCCAUCAAAUUCUUCCAAUUAACAAAUCUGGACCCUAAAAAUUUAAUUUAACGAUUAAAGUUAGUAUAACUUUUUAAAGAGAUCUCAUGUUUUUAACCGUUUGAUCAAAUUUUAAAUGCUUAAAUUUGUUGAUUGGUUAGAUUUGGUAAAAGGGAUUCGGAGAGGAUCCCUUCCCAUUUCAUAAGUUGUCUAAAUGCUUUUGAUUCCUUUUUCAAAUUGAUGCUAGGCCCAAGAAACAAAGCAACACUAGACUAGACUAAAAACAACUGCCGUACGUUUGCCAAAAAAAACUAAUAACAACUGCCGUACAAAAGCAAGAUAAAAAGAGAUACAAGGGAGAACAUUCUCCCCCACUUGACCAUUUCAUCAACAAUGUUGUCUAAAUGCUUUUUAUUCCUUUUUCAAUUUGAUGCUAGGCCCAAGAAACAAGGCAACACUAGACUAAAAACAAUUGCCGUACAAAAGCAAGAUAAAAAGGCAUACAAAGGAGAACAUAUAUAUAUAUAUGUGUGUGUGUGUGGGUAUGUAUAGAUCAGUUAAAAUGAUAACCUUUCUUAGAUAGAACUGAGCAUAUAAACCAGCAAAGGUAAUAUUAGGGAAAUCAAAAUUUUCAACCAAAUGAUGUGUCAUUAAUAGGAAAUAAGCACGUUAAUCAACACAAAAAUAAUAAUUCAAUCAUCAACAACCACAUCAUUUGGUUUGCAAAUUUGGUUUAAAAAAUUUAGUCUCUCUAGAAUUAUCCAACCGGCAAACAAGUUUAAUUAUCUUAGACAAGUAACACUAUUUACGUAUUUAUUUUCAGGCAAUUACAACUUUGACAUCAAAAAGAAGAUUUAAGGAAGAUGAUUUUCUUAUCAGUUAGAAUUUCUACAAUGCGUGUCUCAUUAUUUACCUAAAUAAAUUUUUAUGUCUGUCAAAUUGGUCAUGAAAGCUCACUAUCAUAUUAAUAAGCGGUAAUGAAAGCAGAUAACAUGAGACAAAAAAUAGGAGUUAACUGUAUGUAGGAGGAAAUCGCAUUUAAAUUUCAUUAAAAACAUUAAACUUGACAUGGAUUACCACAACCAUACGACUACGGACCAUCACACAACAAGAACACAAAGGGAACAAAAGAACUUAAAAACAAAAGUUGACAAACAAACAACCACCCACAUCAGACAACAGAAAGCUAAUUGCCAAGUUAGUUAAUCACCAUAAGUGAUAAUGCUGUCCAUAAUCUUGGCCACCACCUCCUUCGAAUCCCUCAGUUUUUUUAUGCUUUUGUUAAGCUUCUCACGCUUUACUGCCACUGCCGGCGACUCCUCCAACAUCCUCUCAAUUCCCCCACCGUAUGGUCCCAUCAACUCAUUCACAAUCUCAGCUUCCAUCUCUUUGUUCACAAGGUUGAAAACAGACCGCUGCAAGUGCAAUGCCAUGUAGUCCACAAGCCUCCUCAAAACAACCUUCCAAUAGGCAAUCAUUCUCAUUUUAAGGUCAUAAGCUUGAGCUAACACAUGCGGGAACUUCCCCAGAACACCGACUUCAACUUCCCCGAUGCCUUCUAUAGUUAUGAUAGAAGGUUUUUUCUCGUCAGUUAAGACUCCAUGAAUGAAUUGAUUUUGACUAGCCAUCAACUUGUUCCAUUCUGAAACAUAAUCACCAUCACAUGUAUAAUCCGUCAGCUUUUCCAUCUCUACAAGCUCCAGCACCCACUUGAUUGACCUUUCCUUCAUCUUGGCCAUUAGAUUAUGGCCGGCACGCCCGGCUGACAGCCGCAGCUGACGAUAGUUCUCC